GACCUCGGAUCAGGUAGGGAUACCCGCUGAACUUAAGCAUAUCAAUAAGCGGAGAAAAA
RNAcentral lists this ribosomal RNA (59 nucleotides) under Bipolaris sorokiniana. RNAcentral describes it as "partial 28S ribosomal RNA". The record is from RNAcentral. Lineage: Eukaryota; Fungi; Ascomycota; Dothideomycetes; Pleosporales; Pleosporaceae.